UACGGAGGGAGCUAGCGUUGUUCGGAAUUACUGGGCGUAAAGCGCACGUAGGCGGCUUUGUAAGUUAGAGGUGAAAGCCUGGAGCUCAACUCCAGAAUUGCCUUUGAUACUGCAUGGCUUGAAUCCAGGAGAGGUGAGUGGAAUUCCGAGUGUAGAGGUGAAAUUCGUAGAUAUUCGGAAGAACACCAGUGGCGAAGGCGGCUCACUGGAGCUGGUAUUGACGCUGAGGUGGCGAAAGCGUGGGGAGCAAACAGG
Molecule: ribosomal RNA, 255 nt
Filed under: uncultured bacterium
Lineage: Bacteria
Description: partial 16S ribosomal RNA
Rfam family: Bacterial small subunit ribosomal RNA
Source: RNAcentral